CACCAGCAGCCAAUAGUUGUUGGCCAUCACGCUGUACUGCAUCAUCACCAUGGCUCCACGGCACCACGUCACAGCCUGACAGAUGACACAGAGGCGGGGGUGGUGAGGAUGCAAACAAUGAGCCAAGGCAGCUCCGUCAGACAAAGAUGACAAUGGUGAAACCAAGGAAAUUAGUGCCGUACCACCAGACUACAGAGCAGCUCCUUUCCUCAGAAUGUGGGACUCCUCCCUCAGUUCAUUCAUUCUCAGCACUCCGCCACUGGAAAUUGAUAACAUUUUAUGACUUAUCCAACUUGGAUGAGUUGGAAUCGACCCCAUGACAGGCACUGAGAAUAACAAGGCUUGCGUCUGGGUGUCACCGCUGCUCCUGGGGUCCAGCGUGAGGGUCAGCAGGGCGUCUUUCACGAGGAUGGACACA
Acanthopagrus latus (yellowfin seabream) is the source of this 418-nucleotide long non-coding RNA. RefSeq lists it as uncharacterized. The transcript is spliced from 3 exons. The record is from RefSeq and is a predicted model, not a curated record. Lineage: Eukaryota; Metazoa; Chordata; Actinopteri; Spariformes; Sparidae.